UACAGAGGGUGCGAGCGUUAAUCGGAAUUAUUGGGCGUAAAGGGCGCGUAGGCGGGCUCGUAAGUCGUAUGUGAAAGCCCUGGGCUUAACCUGGGAAUGGCACUGGAUACUGCAUGUCUAGAGUGAAGGAGAGGGGGGCGGAAUUUCCGGUGUAGCGGUGAAAUGCGUAGAUAUCGGAAAGAACACCGGUGGCGAAGGCGGCCCCCUGGGCGUUUACUGACGCUGAGGCGCGAAAGCGUGGGGAGCAAACAGG
This 253-nucleotide ribosomal RNA is filed under the name uncultured bacterium. RNAcentral describes it as "partial 16S ribosomal RNA". It matches the Rfam family "Bacterial small subunit ribosomal RNA", at positions 524 to 776 of the family's 1533-position model. The record is from RNAcentral.